Non-coding RNA from Cyanistes caeruleus (blue tit), 5158 nucleotides. The record is from RefSeq and is a predicted model, not a curated record. NCBI's taxonomy places the organism in Eukaryota, Metazoa, Chordata, Aves, Passeriformes, Paridae.
AAUAGGCCUUUCCUGGGAACACUCUGCUGCUUGUUCCUUUCCGGAUUAUCGAGCUGAUUUCAACAGGCCUCGUGCCUCGCUACCUGGGGUUGGGUUUGUGAUUGUCCUUGUGUCGAUUUUAUACAUGUGACAAGUGAUUUCCACUGAUGACUGAACAGUCUGGAGUGCAAAUGCCUGCCUGGAGCUGGUUCUAAAAUGCCAUUUUGUAUGCAAUGAUGGUACAUUUAAUUAAAUAACCACUGUGAGCACUAACCAAUCUGGAGUGCAAAUUCUGCCUGAAAACCAAUUGGAAAAUGACAUUUUCUACGUGGGAUGGUACCUUUGAAUGAACAGAUACUUCAGCAAUAUUUUAAGCAAACUUGCUUCUUUAAAAAUAUCAGUGUUGUGAGAGCACUCGUGCUGCAUUUGAUGCUGCUCAGUUCUUGGUGUUGGUGCUGCAGCACUGUAUAAACACAGAAGCAAAACCACUCUCCAAGCUAAUGAGUGACAACUUGUGCCCUAAAGAUGGGUGAGCAGCAAAAAUAAAUCUACCCAAGAGUCCUCCCAGAGAUCCUGACACCCCUACUUGCAUUUCAGUGAGUGACCUGCUGGUUUGAAGUGCUGCAGUGAACCCUGAGAGAAGGCAGGGUGUGAGCUGAAAAUCAGAAAUGUGUGAUCCAAGAAGAUUCUGGUUGUAAACAGAAUGAGUGAGGAAGGAAGAUCCCUUUUGUUCCUUGCUGAUAAAUCUGAUUGAGAGAGUCCUACCAGUGAGGCACCAAGGCCCAAAAUCUCCAAGGGAUGACUGCUUUUCUGUGACCAUCCUGGUAUGUCCAGCAAGAAAUCCCCAGUGUUGGUAAAUCUGCUGACCUGCCCAGAAGAGAAACAGGUGAAGGUCUGUCAGAGCCACAUCUGAGAAGCUGUAGAGACACCUGAGAGCUGAUGAGAACCAGUUUGAAAUGGGACAGAUACAAAACAUGAAGCACUGAAAUGUUCUGGUGGUACUUGAGGGUUCUGACUCUGCACUUGCUCCUGCACUCACAUAAUGCUUUCCUUUCCCUGAAGUAUUCCCAAAAUGGAUCAGACUCCUUUAAAUAAGUGCUAUUGUCCAGUCUUUCCAUGCAUAAAGCCUUUUCCUUAAUGUACAAAUAUGUCAGUCCAAAAUAUAACAAGAAAUAAAAUGUGCUUAAGCACAGUGCCCAGUAUAAACACAGCUGCUGAAAUAUUUUGAAGCUCAUUUGUGAUUAAAUUAUUAAACCAAUUUUUGAUUUUGUUUCAUAGCAAAUAAAAAUAUUAUCAUAAACAGGAAAUUUUGGCUUUCCCUCAGUUGUUGACAGCAUGGAUCCCAUGGAGUUUAAGGUCACAAAGUACUCUGCUGCAGCUCUUUACAGCCUCUGGUCGCUGGGAGCAGGUUUAUGAGGGCUGAGUGAGGAGCAGGGGUGUUCUGGUGUCCAGGGAAUGUGCUCAAACCCUCAGGCAGAGCUGGGGUUGGUACAGAAUAUUCUCACCUCAUCAUCACUGUCACACAUUUUUUGCUCUCUGGUUUAGAGCAUUUCAUAUAUUAAGAUCAGAAAUCCCACAAUACCUAUGACUGAUAUGAUUUAUUUACUUUGCAGAUGUUGCAGGGGUGAAACAAACAAUCAAAUGACAGAAAGUUUGCUCUUGGCCACAUGUCUUGUUGUGACAGUUGCCAAAUGUUGUUGAAGCCAGAGCCAUUCUGGGGAUUAACUCCGGCCAUUCUGCUCUGAAGUGAGCUGAUAAGAUGGGUGGGAUAACCCUGCAUGCAUAGUUUGGAGCUGCAGACAUUUCCCCCUCUGAAUUCCUUGUCCAAGAUAAAGAGGAAGAGACCUCCCAUCUGGAUUAAUUAUUGAUAAAGGCAGAUGCUGAAAAUAGUGAUAAAGUGCCAGUGAUGCAGACAGGCAAGGAACUUAUUCCCUUCCUUGUAUCCAAAAGCAAAUUUCAGGGAUGAUCAGGUGUACUCCCCUGGGAAGGGGCUCUCUCUCAAUCUCUGUGACAUAUUUACCUGGAUGUAGAUCCAGCUUUUUUUCUUGUUUCCUCUCAGCCGAUUUCCUUUUGCUUAUCCCAAACUGAGGAUCAGUGGGACAGAGAGGUGCAGGAGUCUCACUGAGCCUCCCUCAUCCCCAGCACCCCCACACUUCAAUGCUGUUUGAUUUUUGGGGAGCAGGAGGACAAGAGAAUCCUCCAAAAAUCAUUUGCUCAUUCCAGUGCAGAAGUGGAAUAGUCUGGGCAUCUUGGAGCUGUUUGUGAUCUCUGAAAAGACUUCCCCAGCCUCUCUUUGCUCCCUACAAUAAAUUGUGUGCACCUUUUGGACUGGGUCUGUCUUGAUGCUCCCCCUGGUCAGCUCAUCUCUACAAAACUUGGCUGAAGCUGUCACUGGGUGUUUCAGGCUUUGGCCAAGCUGAAAGAAUAUAAGGUACAUAGAAGAAUAAUGUAUUGAAGAGCUUUCUCCACUUUCCCUUUGCUUCCACAUAAAUCCUUAAUAUCAGAGAGGCCUCCUAGUACAGAGCUCCAGCUGAGCCCAUCCUCAUUAAGGAAAAGUCCCUCUCCUUUGAGGAACCAUUGCAUUAAAUAUGAUUUUUUAAAAAGUACAAUGUAGCUGUGUUUACAGCAGAUAAGAUUUUUUUCUCCAUGUUUUUGUUUAACAAAAGCUCAGGAGCAAAAGUAUCUGUGUGGAACACGAGCAUCAUGCCCAGGUCACUGUAAUUGAUAUUUACUGCACUAACAGUAAUCUGCAGCAAAAAAAUCCCUGCUUAGCUGGCUGUGUGUGCUCAUUCCUUUGUCCAGGGUAUUCUCUGGGGUAACUGAAUGCAUUAGUAUUUCCUCUGAAAAUUAAUGUUGUGGCAGAUAAAGAAAGCAUGCACAUAUACAUAAAUCUCUUGUUUUCUGUCUGGGCAAAAGGCUAAAGAAACAGGGUGUGUCUGGAUAGAUUUUGUUCAGUGUUCUGUAGUUUUCUCCCUUUUUAGAAUGUCUCAUUCAAAUGUCAGUUCAUUCUUCUCUAUUUCCUGCCCUUACCCAACAAGACUUGUAGACCAGGCUUAAUUAACUUUAAGACCUUUUAUGUCCACCCCUAAGGAGUUACAGUCCUUUCCUGGAACACUUCCAUUGUAUUAUCUCCAUGUGUUGUGAGAUGAUGCAAAUGAUAUUAUUACUGCUCUUGUGAAUUUACAAUGAGUCUUUCAAUAGUUUUAGUUACAACUUAGCUCUUGUCAGGAAAAUUCCAUCUUUAAGUCAAAAUAAAACUAGGGGAGCAAAUUUCCAGUUUAAUGUGCUGAUAAAGGAAAGCUGGAGAGCCUGGAAAUACAAACUUCAGACACAGAGAAGCUUAAAAAGAUGAGGAAAGCUGUUGUAAGUUGUAUGACUCUUCAGUGUGGAUUUGUUUCUAUGUGGGAGUGGUUGUGAUUUAACAAAGAUAUUUCUUAAACUGAGGUGGAACUUUUUCUUCUCUUCAGAGGCUGUGUGAGUGGAACAUUUAUUUUUGCCACAGCUCACGUUUUAAUCCCAGCCACUGAAAACCCCUUCUGGUGUGAAUAAACCCUUUCUCUUCAUCUGCAGAAGCUGCAGGUCAGUCUGUAUUUGGCAGGUGAUGCAGCUCAUCAUUCCACAGAAGGGAAAUGAGAAAUACAUUCCACAGAGAAAUGUGUCCCUUUCUUCCUGUUUGGGACUGAAGUCACAUCCAAGCACAACUCAUUCAGUUCUAUUCUAAAUUCAGUAUUCUAAUCUGGCAGUGCUCUAGUCCUAAACUUUUACCAAAGCUGCUGCUGCAAAUCCAGGGUACAGAGUGAAGAUGUUUGUUAAAUGGUGCUGCAGAGGCUGGAGCUCUGUGAUUGUUCUGUCCUUGUCGAGUUCACAUCUCUGUCUUUGUAAAAUGAACCCACUGCAAAAAGCAUUCCAGCUCUCCUGCUCUCUGCCCUCACCUCUUAAUCUGUGUCUGGAGUGGAGUGCACUGACUAUCUGAAUGAUCUAAAAUGUGCAAUCAUUGUUUAUGCUUUAAUGACAGCCUAAACCCCUAAAUGAACAGCACUGAACAAACAGCCAAUACACACUAAUUCAUUGCAGCUUUGGGUUCCCAGAGGAGGUUUUGAGAACUCUGAUACAUUAUUAUUAAUCUUGAUUGCUUGGCCUAAUCUUAAUACAGAAUCACAGAAUUGUUAAAGCUGGAAAAGGCCUUUAAGACCAUCAAGUCAUGAGUAAACUGUUUGUCUUGCAGACAGACCAUUUAUAUCUGAAAGAUAAAGGCAGCAAAAGCCAUAAAGACAAUUCAAAUCUCUUCUGAAUUCAGGUCUAGGGCUGGAGGUAGAGGGAGGGACAAUCCUACAAAUAGAAUAGAGAAGCCAACCUAAAGCUCUGUGCCAGUGGGGAUUCUGCUGAUGGAGCUGAGCCCAUCACAGGAACCAUUCCCAUCAAUGGCAGGAUUUCCUAUCAUUUGCAGGACAGCAGCUCCAGGCGCUUGGUCUCCUCAAGCCAAAUGCUGUAAGGCAGGCUCUGUGCUCCUCAAGGAUUCCCAGAGCACAGAUUCACAGCAGAUAGCAUCAUUAAAGGAAGGGGAAAAGGAAGACUGGUGCUACCAGAGCAUUGCUUAGAAAUGUGGACAAAGGCAGGAGAAGGAAUUCGAGUGUAUCCUCCAGACAGGAGGUGGAAGUGGAAUUUCCCUUCCCACUGUCAUGCACAAUGAGGCCAAGUGUGUUCUGUGUACCCAUCUUGAGUCUGCUGGCUGAGCUCUGCCAGGUGCCAGGGACACCACUCCAGGUGUUUCUGCUGGGUCUGGAGAGAUGAGGAUGCAGAGAAAUGGUGACUUCAGUGGGGACAAAGCCAGAUGUGUCACUGCUGCUUUGUGGCUUUUGAACAGGAUUGUAACAGAAACAGAGGCCUCUGUAGCCCCAGAUUGGGGCAGGGGAUCCUGGGGAAAUUGGACAGGAACAGAAGGGUUUGAUGACAGCUGGGACAAUAAAAGUGACCUCUUUGAGUUUCAAAAAUGAAUUUAUUUUAAAACAUUUUUGCCCUUUUGUCUACCUCUAACUAUUAUGGUGCUCUGUAAGUCCCUGCAUUUCAGGUAGCAAUGCCAGGGCAAGAAGAACACUCUUUUCUCUCUGCUGCUCUUUGGGAAGGUAUCUGUGAAAUUUCCCUAGUUUGUCCAGGUAACCAUGCUUACCUUUCCCUAAAA